AUGGAUGACAACCGUUGUCCGAUAGUUAGUUGGAACGUACGUGGGCUCAAUAUGCCAGCCAAACGUGACGCUGUCUGUGAAGCAGUCGCGGUGCAUCGACCAGCGAUUCUUUGUCUCCAGGAGACGAAAAUCGACACUUGGUCACCAGCUCUAGUCAGGGAUAUAGGAGGUAGCAGGUUAGCCGACUGCAUAGUGUUGCCUGCGAUCGGUUCUAAAGGCGGGGUGGCCAUUCUUUGGGACAAUGAGAUCGUCUCAAUCGCGUCCCAGACAGUAGGAGAAUUCGCCAUCACUACCAAAGUAACGGUCAGCCAAUCGGCCACUGCUUUUUGGCUAACUGCGGUCUAUGGACCGGCAGAAGACGCUCGAAAGGAUGCGUUCCUUCUGGAGCUGGCAUGA
RNAcentral lists this ribosomal RNA (396 nucleotides) under Triticum aestivum (bread wheat). Its description in RNAcentral is "partial small subunit ribosomal RNA". Lineage: Eukaryota; Viridiplantae; Streptophyta; Magnoliopsida; Poales; Poaceae. The record is from RNAcentral.